AUUGAACGCUGGCGGCAGGCCUAACACAUGCAAGUCGAGCGGAUGAAGGGAGCUUGCUCCUGGAUUCAGCGGCGGACGGGUGAGUAAUGCCUAAGAAUCUGCCUGGUAGUGGGGGAUAACGUCCGGAAACGGGCGCUAAUACCGCAUACGUCCUGAGGGAGAAAGUGGGGGAUCUUCGGACCUCACGCUAUCAGAUGAGCCUAUGUCGGAUUAGCUAGUUGGUGGGGUAAAGGCCUACCAAGGCGACGAUCCGUAACUGGUAUGAGAGGACGAUCAGUCACACUGGAACUGAGACACGGUCCAGACUCCUACGGGAGGCAGAAGUGGGGAAUAUUGGACAAUGGGCGAAAGCCUGAUCCAGCCAUGCCGCGUGUGUGAAGAAGGUCUUCGGAUUGUAAAGCACUUUUAUUUUGGAGGAAGGGCAGUAAGUUAAUACCUUGCUGUUUUGACGUUACCAACAGAAUAAGCACCGGCUAACUUCGUG
This 484-nucleotide ribosomal RNA is filed under the name uncultured bacterium. RNAcentral describes it as "partial 16S ribosomal RNA". It matches the Rfam family "Bacterial small subunit ribosomal RNA", at positions 30 to 507 of the family's 1533-position model. The record is from RNAcentral.